AUGAACUUUAUGUAUGAACUUUUAUUAAUUUGGUGUUUUUGGUGUUGUGUAUUGAAGAUGAGCCGACAAUGGAUGUACGAUGACCGAUGCUCUCCCGAGUUCAUUAAUGGCGUGCAAACUUUUCUGUUUGUGGCUGAGGCAAACAAGCGGGCGGAUGGUUUUAUGCCUUGUCCAUGUGCUGUCUGUAAGAAUAGUCAAAAUUACUCUAAGUCAAGAACCAUUCACGUCCACCUGUUUAAGUCAGGUUUCGUGCCCCACUAUAAUGUUUGGACCAAGCACGGAGAAAGAGGGGUUAUGAUGGAAGACAAUGAAGAAGAAGAGGACGACGGCAGCUAUCCUGGCCAUGUGUUCCCUGAAUACGAUGAUACAACAAUGGGGGAAGAAGCUGAGCCGGCAAUGCGGGAAAAAACUAAAGAAGAGGCAUCAGAUGAGCCCGUUGAUGAUCUAGGUCGGGCCAUUGCCGGUGCAAAGAGAAACUGCGCAAGUGAUUUGGAGAAGAAGAAGUUGCAGCGCAUGUUAGAGGAUCACAAAAAAUUGUUGUACCCGAAUUGCGUAGGUGACAAGAAAAAGCUGGGCACCACACUGGAAUUGCUGCAAUGGAAGGCAGAGAAUGGUGUAUCUGACAAGGGAUUUGGAAAGUUGCUGGUAAUGAUAAAGAAUAUGCUUCUAAAGGACAAAGAAUUGCCGAGAGUACGUACAAAGCAAAGAAGGCUGUCUGCCCUCUAG
Molecule: ribosomal RNA, 726 nt
Filed under: Triticum aestivum (bread wheat)
Lineage: Eukaryota; Viridiplantae; Streptophyta; Magnoliopsida; Poales; Poaceae
Description: partial small subunit ribosomal RNA
Source: RNAcentral